UGCAGUCGAGCGGUAACAGAGAGUAGCUUGCUACUCUGCUGACGAGCGGCGGACGGGUGAGUAAUGCUUGGGAAUGUACCUUAUGGUGGGGGACAACAGUUGGAAACGACUGCUAAUACCGCAUAAUGUCUUCGGACCAAAGCGGGGGACCUUCGGGCCUCGCGCCAUAAGAUCAGCCCAAGUGGGAUUAGCUAGUUGGUGAGGUAAUGGCUCACCAAGGCGACGAUCCCUAGCUGGUUUGAGAGGAUGAUCAGCCACACUGGGACUGAGACACGGCCCAGACUCCUACGGGAGGCAGCAGUGGGGAAUAUUGCACAAUGGGCGCAAGCCUGAUGCAGCCAUGCCGCGUGUGUGAAGAAGGCCUUCGGGUUGUAAAGCACUUUCAGUAAGGAGGAAAGGUUGGAUGUUAAUAGCAUUCAGCUGUGACGUUACUUACAGAAGAAGCACCGGCUAACUCCGUGCCAGCAGCCGCGGUAAUACGGAGGGUGCGAGCGUUAAUCGGAAUUACUGGGCGUAAAGCGUACGCAGGCGGUUUGUUAAGCGAGAUGUGAAAGCCCCGGGCUCAACCUGGGAACUGCAUUUCGAACUGGCAAACUAGAGUGUGAUAGAGGGUGGUAGAAUUUCAGGUGUAGCGGUGAAAUGCGUAGAGAUCUGAAGGAAUACCGAUGGCGAAGGCAGCCACCUGGGUCAACACUGACGCUCAUGUACGAAAGCGUGGGGAGCAAACAGGAUUAGAUACCC
RNAcentral lists this ribosomal RNA (741 nucleotides) under Bacillus sp. SC-C1-2. RNAcentral describes it as "bacterial SSU rRNA". It matches the Rfam family "Bacterial small subunit ribosomal RNA", at positions 56 to 787 of the family's 1533-position model. The record is from RNAcentral. Lineage: Bacteria; Bacillati; Bacillota; Bacilli; Caryophanales; Bacillaceae.